Perca fluviatilis (European perch) is the source of this 177-nucleotide long non-coding RNA. RefSeq lists it as uncharacterized. The transcript is spliced from 3 exons. The record is from RefSeq and is a predicted model, not a curated record. Lineage: Eukaryota; Metazoa; Chordata; Actinopteri; Perciformes; Percidae.
GGAGAACACCUUUGGAAACACUGAAGCGGUUGAAUAUGGAGGACUUUGUUAAACUAAAGUUAACAGAACGGCAACUUCUUGAGCUGAUUGACACUUUUGCAGAUUGUGCAGGACUUCGAGGUUCUUCAUAAAGAGGCAUCAGACUAAAUCUUUGACCUGGAGGAGGUUCAGCGGAAG